RNAcentral lists this long non-coding RNA (765 nucleotides) under Sus scrofa (pig). RNAcentral's name for it is "lncRNA (ENSSSCG00070003281.1)". Lineage: Eukaryota; Metazoa; Chordata; Mammalia; Artiodactyla; Suidae. The record is from RNAcentral.
GGUGGAUACCAUAAACAUGUAAGGGUACUAUCGGGAUUGGUUGUUGCCUUCUCCACUGUAGGAGGGCCGGGCAGAGACGCUUCACCAAGAGAAUUUUUGAGGAGAAAAAUGCCUGGGGCCUUUUCUUCCCACUACCUACUCCAGUGGAGGCUUCCCGUCAGGUCCCUGGACAAGGUUUUCCACUCCUCAGGUUAUCGGAGGCUUCAGUGCCAGUAGAAAACCAGGCUGAAGCCCUCUCAAGGGUUGUGAAUCUCUGCAGAUCUGCCUUCUGCAAAUCAUUUGGUAAGGAAAUCUUACUGAGGAUGUGGAAACACUGCGAGAGAAUCCUGUGAUCCUGAUAAUUCCCAACAUGAAGAGAUACUUUUGCAGGUUAGUCCUUGAACACAUUUUCAUCCUUCACUGAGAUCACCUAAUGUUUGACAUUUGUCAGGUACCUGCUGUGUGCCAGAUACUGUUCUGUGCCUUGGGGGUACAAAGGUGGAUAAUACACAGGCACUGUACCUGGUUGGUUAAGCCUAUUUUCUUGCUGUUUUCAGUGUUGGAGGUAAAUUUCUACUAGAAAAUUCAUGUGAGAAGUUGUGGUAAAGCCAUUUUUUUUGAGGUGUAAUUAAUUUAAAAUGUUAAAUGAAUUUUAGGUAUACAACCUAAUGAUUUGAGAUUUUCAUGUGCUGCGAAAUAUCAAUGUAGUAAAUCUAGUUAACAUCUUGUCUAAUUAUUGAGCCAGCAGGCAAUAAAGCCAAUUCCAUUGUGUAAGUUUCCCUAGUU